UACGAAGGGGGCUAGCGUUGCUCGGAAUCACUGGGCGUAAAGCGCACGUAGGCGGAUCUUUAAGUCAGGGGUGAAAUCCUGGAGCUCAACUCCAGAACUGCCUUUGAUACUGCAAGUCUCGAGUCCGAUAGAGGUGGGUGGAAUUCCUAGUGUAGAGGUGAAAUUCGUAGAUAUUAGGAAGAACACCGGUGGCGAAGGCGGCCCACUGGAUCGGUACUGACGCUGAGGUGCGAAAGCGUGGGGAGCAAACAGG
This 253-nucleotide ribosomal RNA is filed under the name uncultured bacterium. Its description in RNAcentral is "partial 16S ribosomal RNA". It matches the Rfam family "Bacterial small subunit ribosomal RNA", at positions 524 to 776 of the family's 1533-position model. The record is from RNAcentral.